CCUACGGGAGGCAGCAGUGGGGAAUAUUGCACAAUGGGGGACACCCUGAUGCAGCGACGCCGCGUGAGUGAAGAAGUAAUUCGUUAUGUAAAGCUCUCUCAGCAGGGAAGAAAAUGACGGUACCUGAGUAAGAAGCCCCGGCUCACUACGUGCCAGCAGCCGCGGUAAUACGUAGGGGGCAAGCGUUAUCCGGAUUUACUGGGUGUAAAGGGAGCGUAGACGGCAGGUCAAGUCUGGAGUGAAAGGCUGGGGCUCAACCCCCGGACUGCUCUGGAAACUGUGCGGCUUGAGUGCAGGAGAGGUAAGUGGAAUUCCUAGUGUAGCGGUGAAAUGCGUAGAUAUUAGGAGGAACACCAGUGGCGAAGGCGGCUUACUGGACUGUAACUGACGUUGAGGCUCGAAAGCGUGGGGAGCAAACAGGAUUAGAUACCCCAGUAGUC
Molecule: ribosomal RNA, 440 nt
Filed under: uncultured bacterium
Lineage: Bacteria
Description: partial 16S ribosomal RNA
Rfam family: Bacterial small subunit ribosomal RNA
Source: RNAcentral